GGUGCUGGGACUGAGGGAAAUGCCUCUCCUGGUAAUCUUAAUUCCCCUUCAUACUUUUAAUUCUAGGUGUAUGGAAAUCUGAACAUUUACUCCAACUUCAGUGGAUGCCGUCCAGUCCCUUCAGCGCUGCCUGGACACCGUACUGGAAUGGAUGCAGUCAAAUGGAUUGAGGCUGAACCCGGACAAGACGGAGGUCUUGAGGGUGGGUGGCCCUCCCGUCAGCGGCAUAGGUGACUCCCUUUCUUUUGGAGGGACGACCCUUGCCACAAAGAGUGAGGUCCGCAGCUUGGGGAUACAUCUGGACCCGGCGCUAACCAUGGAAACCCAGGUGGCGUCCGUGGUCCGUUCUGCCUAUUUUCAUCUAUGGCGGAUUGCCCAGCUGCGGCCAUAUCUUGAUCGCGGGGCCCUCACUACUCUAGUCCACACGCUCGUAAUCUCGAGACUAGACCAUUGUAAUGCACUCUACGUGGGGCUGCCUUUGAGGCUCUUGCGGAAACUCCAGAUGGUCCAGAAUGCAGCAGCCAGGCUUAUUAGUGGGGUGAGAAAAUAUCAGCACAUCUCCCCCACUCUGGCUGCGCUGCACUGGUUACCUAUUCGUUUCCGCAUUGACUUCAAAGUAUUAAUGAUUACAUAUAAAGCCCUAAACGGUUUGGGACCUCAAUAUUUGGCAGAUCGCCUCUUCCCACCCAGAUCUACCCGAGUCACCCGACAAAGCCAGCAGGGACGGCUGAGGGGACUGACGCCGAGGGAGGCCCGGAAGGAGAAAACAAGAAACCGGGCCUUCUCGGCAGUUGCCCCUCGGCUGUGGAACACACUUCCCACUGAAAUUCGGCUGGCACCCUCGCUGGGUGUGUUCAAAAACCAACUAAAAACAUGGUUAUUCAGACAGGCCUUCCCCCCAGUCACCUAAGUUCCUUCCCCCUUUUUUCUGGUUCUUAAUGUUGCCAUCUUGGAUAAUAUUAAUUAUAAUAAUUGCAUUAUGUUAGUUAUUNNNNNNNNNNNNNNNNNNNNNN
Molecule: long non-coding RNA, 1013 nt
Filed under: Pogona vitticeps (central bearded dragon)
Lineage: Eukaryota; Metazoa; Chordata; Lepidosauria; Squamata; Agamidae
Description: lncRNA (ENSPVIG00000003399.1)
Source: RNAcentral